Molecule: ribosomal RNA, 500 nt
Filed under: uncultured bacterium
Lineage: Bacteria
Description: partial 16S ribosomal RNA
Rfam family: Bacterial small subunit ribosomal RNA
Source: RNAcentral
AUUGAACGCUGGCGGCAGGCUUAACACAUGCAAGUCGAGCGGGGGAAGGUAGCUUGCUACCGGACCUAGCGGCGGACGGGUGAGUAAUGCUUAGGAAUCUGCCUAUUAGUGGGGGACAACCUCUCGAAAGGGAUGCUAAUACCGCAUUCGUCCUACGGGAGAAAGCAGGGGAUCUUCGGACCAUUCGCUAAUAGAUGAGCCUAAGUCGUAUGAGCUCGUGGGUGGGGUAAAGGCCUACCAAGGCGACGAUCUAUAGGGGGGCUGAGAGGAUGAUCCGCCACACGGGGGCGGAGACACGGCCCAGACGCCUACGGGAGGCAGCAGUGGGGAAUAUUGGACAAUGGGGGGAACCCUGAUCCAGCCAUGCCGCGUGUGUGAAGAAGGCCUUAUGGUUGUAAGCACUUUAAGCGAGGAGGAGGCUACUCUAGUUAAUACCUAGGGAUAGUGGACGUUACUCGCAGAAUAAGCACCGGCUAACUCUGUGCCAGCCGCCGCGGUAA